RNAcentral lists this ribosomal RNA (253 nucleotides) under uncultured bacterium. Its description in RNAcentral is "partial 16S ribosomal RNA". It matches the Rfam family "Bacterial small subunit ribosomal RNA", at positions 524 to 776 of the family's 1533-position model. The record is from RNAcentral.
UACAGAGGUCCCAAGCGUUGUUCGGAUUCACUGGGCGUAAAGGGUGCGUAGGUGGCAGUGUAAGUCUGAUGUGAAAGCUCCGAGCUUAACUCGAAAAUGGCAUUGGAUACUAUAUUGCUGGAGGUUUGGAGGGGGGACUGGAAUUCUCGGUGUAGCAGUGAAAUGCGUAGAUAUCGAGAGGAACACCGGUGGCGAAGGCGAGUCCCUGGACAACACCUGACACUGAGGCACGAAAGCUAGGGGAGCAAACAGG